GUCCUUUCGGGGACAUCUGAUAAAAUUGGAACGAUACAAAGAAGAUUAGCAUGGCCCCUGUGCAAGGAUGACAUGCACAAAUCGAUAAAUGGUCCAAAAUUUU
This 103-nucleotide small nuclear RNA is filed under the name Arabidopsis halleri subsp. gemmifera. The record is from RNAcentral. Lineage: Eukaryota; Viridiplantae; Streptophyta; Magnoliopsida; Brassicales; Brassicaceae.